Molecule: ribosomal RNA, 1187 nt
Filed under: Acinetobacter baumannii
Lineage: Bacteria; Pseudomonadati; Pseudomonadota; Gammaproteobacteria; Moraxellales; Moraxellaceae
Description: bacterial SSU rRNA
Rfam family: Bacterial small subunit ribosomal RNA
Source: RNAcentral
UAAUUAGUGCGGGACAACAUCUCGAAAGGGAUGCUAAUACCGCAUACGUCCUACGGGAGAAAGCAGGGGAUCUUCGAUUCGCUUGCGCGAUUAGAUGAGCCUAAGUCGGAUUAGCUAGUUGGUGGGGUAAAGGCCUACCAAGGCGACGAUCUGUAGCGGGUCUGAGAGGAUGAUCCGCCACACUGGGACUGAGACACGGCCCAGACUCCUACGGGAGGCAGCAGUGGGGAAUAUUGGACAAUGGGGGGAACCCUGAUCCAGCCAUGCCGCGUGUGUGAAGAAGGCCUUAUGGUUGUAAAGCACUUUAAGCGAGGAGGAGGCUACUUUAGUUAAUACCUAGAGAUAGUGGACGUUACUCGCAGAAUAAGCACCGGCUAACUCUGUGCCAGCAGCCGCGGUAAUACAGAGGGUGCGAGCGUUAAUCGGAUUUACUGGGCGUAAAGCGUGCGUAGGCGGCUUAUUAAGUCGGAUGUGAAAUCCCCGAGCUUAACUUGGGAAUUGCAUUCGAUACUGGUGAGCUAGAGUAUGGGAGAGGAUGGUAGAAUUCCAGGUGUAGCGGUGAAAUGCGUAGAGAUCUGGAGGAAUACCGAUGGCGAAGGCAGCCAUCUGGCCUAAUACUGACGCUGAGGUACGAAAGCAUGGGGAGCAAACAGGAUUAGAUACCCUGGUAGUCCAUGCCGUAAACGAUGUCUACUAGCCGUUGGGGCCUUUGAGGCUUUAGUGGCGCAGCUAACGCGAUAAGUAGACCGCCUGGGGAGUACGGUCGCAAGACUAAAACUCAAAUGAAUUGACGGGGGCCCGCACAAGCGGUGGAGCAUGUGGUUUAAUUCGAUGCAACGCGAAGAACCUUACCUGGCCUUGACAUACUAGAAACUUUCCAGAGAUGGAUUGGUGCCUUCGGGAAUCUAGAUACAGGUGCUGCAUGGCUGUCGUCAGCUCGUGUCGUGAGAUGUUGGGUUAACCGCCGCAACGAGCGCAACCCUUUUCCUUACUUGCCAGCAUUUCGGAUGGGAACUUUAAGGAUACUGCCAGUGACAAACUGGAGGAAGGCCACUAGACGACGUCAAGUCAUCAUGGCCCUUACGGCCAGGGCUACACACGUGCUACAAUGGUCGGUACAAAGGGUUGCUACACAGCGAUGUGAUGCUAAUCUCAAAAAGCCGAUCGUAGUCCGGAUUCCUACAGGA